This 254-nucleotide ribosomal RNA is filed under the name uncultured bacterium. RNAcentral's name for it is "partial 16S ribosomal RNA". It matches the Rfam family "Bacterial small subunit ribosomal RNA", at positions 524 to 776 of the family's 1533-position model. The record is from RNAcentral.
UACGUAGGGGGGCUAGCGUUGUCCGGAAUCAUUGGGCGUAAAGAGCGUGUAGGCGGUCCGGUAAGUCCGCUGUGAAAGUCGGGGGCUCAACCCUCGAAUGCCGGUGGAUACUGUCGGGCUAGAGUGCGGAAGAGGCGAGUGGAAUUCCUGGUGUAGCGGUGAAAUUCGUAGAUAUUGGGAAGAACACCGGUGGCGAAGGCGGCGACCUGGUCCGUGACUGACGCUGAGGCGCGAAAGCGUGGGGAGCAAACAGG